RNAcentral lists this ribosomal RNA (961 nucleotides) under Panesthia sloanei. RNAcentral describes it as "SSU rRNA". It matches the Rfam family "Eukaryotic small subunit ribosomal RNA", at positions 436 to 1302 of the family's 1831-position model. Lineage: Eukaryota; Metazoa; Arthropoda; Insecta; Blattodea; Blaberidae. The record is from RNAcentral.
GCAAAUUACCCACUCCCGGCACGGGGAGGUAGUGACGAAAAAUAACGAUACGGGACUCAUCCGAGGCCCCGUAAUCGGAAUGAGCACACUUUAAAUCCUUUAACGAGUAUCCAUUGGAGGGCAAGUCUGGUGCCAGCAGCCGCGGUAAUUCCAGCUCCAAUAGCGUAUAUUAAAGUUGUUGCGGUUAAAAAGCUCGUAGUCGGACUUGUGUCACACGCUGCCGGUUCACCGCCCGUCGGUGUCUAACUGGCAUGCACGUGCUGACGUCCUGCCGGUGGCCCGAGCCGGCCCGGGAGUCUGGGUGCGGGAUUCCCUUCGGGGGCCCGCCUCGAACCCGGUGUCUGGGGAGGGCCUACUCAUACCCCUCGCGGUGCUCUUAACCGAGUGUCUCGAUGGGCCGGCACGUUUACUUUGAACAAAUUAGAGUGCUUAAAGCAGGCAGCAUCCGCCUGAAUACUGAGUGCAUGGAAUAAUGGAAUAGGACCUCGGUUCUAUUUUGUUGGUUUUCGGAAUCCCCGAGGUAAUGAUCAAUAGGGACAGACGGGGGCAUUCGUAUUGCGACGUUAGAGGUGAAAUUCUUGGAUCGUCGCAAGACGGACCGAAGCGAAAGCAUUUGCCAAGAAUGUUUUCUCUGAUCAAGAACGAAAGUUAGAGGUUCGAAGGCGAUCAGAUACCGCCCUAGUUCUAACCAUAAACGAUGCCAGCCAGCAAUCCGCCGAAGUUCCUCCGAUGACUCGGCGGGCGGCUUCCGGGAAACCAAAGCUUUUGGGUUCCGGGGGAAGUAUGGUUGCAAAGCUGAAACUUAAAGGAAUUGACGGAAGGGCACCACCAGGAGUGGAGCCUGCGGCUUAAUUUGACUCAACACGGGAAACCUCACCAGGCCCGGACACCGGGAGGAUUGACAGAUUGAGAGCUCUUUCUUGAUUCGGUGGGUGGUGGUGCAUGGCCGUUCUUAGUUGGU